This 1452-nucleotide ribosomal RNA is filed under the name uncultured Nitrosomonas sp. RNAcentral's name for it is "bacterial SSU rRNA". It matches the Rfam family "Bacterial small subunit ribosomal RNA". The record is from RNAcentral. Lineage: Bacteria; Pseudomonadati; Pseudomonadota; Betaproteobacteria; Nitrosomonadales; Nitrosomonadaceae.
GCAUUGAACGCUGGCGAUGCUCUACACAUGCAAGUCGAACGGCAGCGGCACUUCGGCCUGCCGGCGAGUGGCGAACGGGUGAGUAAUACAUCGGAACGUGUCCUUAAGUGGCGAAUAACGCAUCGAAAGAUGUGCUAAUACCGCAUAUUUCUGAGGAGAAAAGCAGGGGAUCGCAAGACCUUGCGCUAAAGGAGCGGCCGAUGUCUGAUUAGCUAGUUGGUACGUAAAGGCUUACCAAGGCAACGAUCAGUAGUUGGUCUGAGAGGACGGCCAGUCACACUGGGACUGAGACACGGCCCAGACUCCUACGGGAGGCAGCAGUGGGGAAUGCUGGACAAUGGGCGAAAGCCUGAUCCAGCCAUGCCGCGUGAGUGAAGAAGGCCUUCGAGGUUGUAAAGCUCAUUAUUAGUCGGAAAGAAUAGAGUUGCAAUGAAUAAUUGUGAUUUAUGACGGUACCGACAGAUCAGCACCGGCUAACUACGUGCCAGCAGCCGCGGUAAUACGUAGGGUGCGAGCGUUAAUCGGAAUUACUGGCAGUACAGGGUGCGCAGGCGGUCUUGCAAGUCAGAUGUGAAAGCGACGUGCUUAACCUGGGAAUUGCGUUACUAACUACAAGGCUAGAGUGCAGCAGAGCCGAGUGGAAUUCCAUGUGUAGCAGUGAAAUGCGUAGAGAUGUGGAAGAACACCGAUGGCGUCUCAGCUCCCUGGGUUGACACUGACGCUCAUGCACGAUAGCGUGCAGAGCAAACACUCUUAGAUACCUGCUAGUCCACGCCCUAAACGAUGUCAACUAGUUGUCGGAUCUAAUUAAGGAUUCAGUAACGUAGCGUAACGCGUGAAGUUGACCGCCUGCGGAGUGUCGGUCGCAAGAUUAUCACUCAAAGGAAUUGACGAGGACCCGCACAAGCGGUCAUUAUGUGGAUUAAUUCGAUGCAACGCGAAGUACCUUACCUACCCUUGACAUGCUUGGAAUCUAAUCUAGACAUAAGAGUGUCCGAAUCGAGCCAAGACACAGGAGCUGCGUCUGUCGUCAAAGCGUGUCGUGAGAUGUUGGGUUAAGUCCCGCAACGAGCGCAACCCUUGUCACUAAUUGCUAUCAUUAAUGAGCACUUUAGUGAGACUGCCGGUGACAAACCGGAGGUCGGUGGGGAUGACGUCAAGUCCUCAUGGCCCUUAUGGGUAGGUCACACGUAAUACAAUGGCGUGUACAGAGGGUUGCCAACCCGCGAGCAGGAGCCAAUCUCAGAAAGCACGUCGUAGUCCGGAUCGGAGUCAGCAACUCGACUCCGUGAAGUCGGAAUCGCUAGUAAUCGCGGAUCAGCAUGUACGGUGAAUACGUUUCUUGUACACACCGCCCGUCACACCAUGGGAGUGGUAGUCCACCAGAAGCAGGUAGCUUAACCGUAAGGCGCGCUUGCCACGGUGCAGGGAAUGACUGCAGUGAGUGUCUCU